UAUUGGACAAUGGGGGGAACCCUGAUCCAGCCAUGCCGCGUGUGUGAAGAAGGCCUUUUGGUUGUAAAGCACUUUAAGCGAGGAGGAGGCUACUAGUAUUAAUACUACUGGAUAGUGGACGUUACUCGCAGAAUAAGCACCGGCUAACUCUGUGCCAGCAGCCGCGGUAAUACAGAGGGUGCGAGCGUUAAUCGGAUUUACUGGGCGUAAAGCGUGCGUAGGCGGCUGAUUAAGUCGGAUGUGAAAUCCCUGAGCUUAACUUAGGAAUUGCAUUCGAUACUGGUCAGCUAGAGUAUGGGAGAGGAUGGUAGAAUUCCAGGUGUAGCGGUGAAAUGCGUAGAGAUCUGGAGGAAUACCGAUGGCGAAGGCAGCCAUCUGGCCUAAUACUGACGCUGAGGUACGAAAGCAUGGGGAGCAAACAG
RNAcentral lists this ribosomal RNA (422 nucleotides) under uncultured bacterium. Its description in RNAcentral is "bacterial SSU rRNA". It matches the Rfam family "Bacterial small subunit ribosomal RNA", at positions 362 to 775 of the family's 1533-position model. The record is from RNAcentral.